GGAGAGGUGGCAGAGCGGUUGAAUGCACCGGUCUUGAAAACCGGCAAGGGUUAAAGCCCUUCGUGGGUUCGAAUCCCACCCUCUCCGCCA
RNAcentral lists this transfer RNA (90 nucleotides) under Wenzhouxiangellaceae bacterium. RNAcentral describes it as "tRNA-Ser". It matches the Rfam family "tRNA". Rfam says of the family: Transfer RNA (tRNA) molecules are approximately 80 nucleotides in length. Their secondary structure includes four short double-helical elements and three loops (D, anti-codon, and T loops). Further hydrogen bonds mediate the characteristic L-shaped molecular structure. tRNAs have two regions of fundamental functional importance: the anti-codon, which is responsible for specific mRNA codon recognition, and the 3' end, to which the tRNAs corresponding amino acid is attached (by aminoacyl-tRNA synthetases). tRNAs cope with the degeneracy of the genetic code in two manners: having more than one tRNA (with a specific anti-codon) for a particular amino acid; and 'wobble' base-pairing, i.e. permitting non-standard base-pairing at the 3rd anti-codon position. The record is from RNAcentral. Lineage: Bacteria; Pseudomonadati; Pseudomonadota; Gammaproteobacteria; Chromatiales; Wenzhouxiangellaceae.